This is a long non-coding RNA of Oryzias latipes (Japanese medaka), 311 nucleotides long. RefSeq lists it as uncharacterized. Lineage: Eukaryota; Metazoa; Chordata; Actinopteri; Beloniformes; Adrianichthyidae. The record is from RefSeq and is a predicted model, not a curated record.
CUGCAGCCUCUUUCUACAAGACACACGAAGAAGAAGCCGCUGUUUAUAUAGAGGCGCGGCUCACCAGCGCGGCCUCUUGGCACGUGGGAAUCUCGCUGACACUCCUAAGAGGGAGGAGCCUCUCGGGGGCAUCUGUUCACCAGGAGCUUCUGACCUGCAGGGGGCAGUAUCUGCACAGUGGAAGCUUUGGACCUUCAACCGGUGGAGCUGCUCUUCAAUCAAAACAAGAAUUUCAAUUAGUCCCAUUUUUGUUUUCUUCAGUUUUCCUGUAAAUGUUUGUUUUUUGGUGAAAAUAAACUGUUUUAAAUUAA